CCUACGGGUGGCAGCAGUGGGGAAUUUUCCGCAAUGGGCGAAAGCCUGACGGAGCAAUGCCGCGUGAAGGUAGAAGGCCUACGGGACAUGAACUUCUUUUCCCGGAGAAGAAGCAAUGACGGUAUCCGGGGAAUAAGCAUCGGCUAACUCAGUACCAGCAGCCGCGGUAAGACAGAGGAUGGAAGGGGUAUCCGGAAUGAUUGGGGGUAAAGCGGGUGUAGGGGGCUUUUUAAGUUCGCCGUCAAAUCCCAGGGCUCAACCCUUGACAGGCGGUGGAAACUAGCAAGCUGGAGUACGGGAGAGGCAGAGGGAAGGUCCGGUGGAGCGGUGAAAUGCGUAGAGAUCGGAAAGAACACCAACGGCGAAAGCACUCUGCUGGGCCGACACUGACACUGAGAGACGAAAGCUAGGGGAGCGAAUGGGAUUAGAUACCCCAGUAGUC
RNAcentral lists this ribosomal RNA (442 nucleotides) under uncultured bacterium. RNAcentral describes it as "partial 16S ribosomal RNA". It matches the Rfam family "Bacterial small subunit ribosomal RNA", at positions 338 to 795 of the family's 1533-position model. The record is from RNAcentral.